Molecule: non-coding RNA, 46 nt
Organism: Cavia porcellus (domestic guinea pig)
Lineage: Eukaryota; Metazoa; Chordata; Mammalia; Rodentia; Caviidae
Source: Rfam
UACCAGGACCUUCUCAGGUCCAAAAAUAUCAUAAUAAUCUUUAAGU